UUCUGUCCCAUUGUUGAUUGGAGGUAUGACUUCAGACGUCUACGGGUGCUAAAUAAUCAUUCUGCUGUUGCUGUUGUGACUGGAACUACUUGGAGAAGCUUAAUCCACUUCCCUACUUCACAUAACAUUUCUCCAACUGCAGGCUCUUGUGUAAUGUACUUUCUUACAGUUGUUUUUUAUUAGCGAUAUCGGUUAACAUGUUAAAGUGCAAGUGCAGUCUCUCAAUGCUUAGGUCAUUUUUGAAAAACUCAGUUGAUUUUUCCAAUUUUGUUUCACCUCUGUUUACUAAAACUCUUAAUCUGCAAUGACCUGUGGGAGUCCAGCAAUGCAAGAUUGCACCAUUUCACAUACUUCAAUGUAAAUAGCUUUGUAGCAUUCCUUUGUGCGGUGAGCUGGUUUAAUUGUUUUCAUACUUCUUUGGUAUACUUUGAUUCUGAGGAAGUGAAUGAUCAUCAACUUGUGAAGGUUUUUCUUUUAAACACAAUUCCCAAAAGUGUUCAAAUCUAUCACGCCUCCAUUCAGUAUACAAGUUGAGCCCUCAUGUUUUUUCCUGAUCAGCAACACUUAGAUGAGGGCAUUGAAUUUUUUCAUUGACAUCCUCUACUGUGUUCAUUGCAUGACAAUAGACAUAAAAAGAAAUAAGUCUUGAAUUGUAACACUGACUCAAGGUAGCCUGCACAUUUGUAACCUGCCUCUGUUUUGUCCUCUGCAGAAAAUGUUUCAAAAAAAUUCUAGAAGUUCUUGAAAGUUUUUCAAUAUUCUCAAGAUACUAGAAGCUUGCAUAGUCGAUUGAGUUGGGCAAAGGGGUCAUAGACCAGCUUGAUCAUUGGCACUCUCACAGCAUAUGCUUCUGAAAAGUCCUCUCCUUUUGUUGGAUUCACUUACGGUGUUUAUUAAGUCCUUGUUAGCCGAGGACAAGUCAUAUUAUCCCUUGUAUCUGACGGAUGGCCACUGGCAAAUUCCACUUGCAGAGGCUCCAAUGGAUAUGGUAUCGAAGAGGAAUUAUUUCAGAAUUUUGGGGAUGAUGGGAAGGAAAAUCGUAGGACAAUUGCCUUUGCAAGCAGAGCACUGACUAAAUAUGAGAGAAAUUAUACUGUAACUGAAUGUGAAGCUUUAGUGAUAGUUUGGGGAUUCAAAAAUUCAGAGAUUAUCUGUGGGGGAACGAAACUAUCAUUUAUACUGAUCACAGAGCUCUCAUAUUUUUCAAGAAAUUUAGGCUGAUGCAUUCACGGUUAACAAAGUGGACAGUAUUUAUGCAGCAGUUUGAGUAUGAGAUAAAAUAUGUUAAAGGUACACAAAACAGGGUGAUGGACGCAUUAUCCAGGUUACCACUAGGAGCAAAUGGUGAAUUAGGUCAAGAUUUAGAUGAAGGGCAUGUAAUAUUAUUUUAUAUAAAAGGAAUUCCUGUAGACAAGAAAACAGAAUAUUUGUAAAUUCAUGAGGAGAUAUCAGAAUCAUGAUGAGGUAUGGAAAAUGGUAAAGAGAGACUUGGAUAUGCCAAAUGCUAGCAAUAAGUUGCCAAAAUACUACAAAGUACAUGGGAGAGUUUCAUUUAGAAGAACCAAUGAAAAUUCAGAGGAUUGGAAGGUGUGCUGGCCCAGUGAAUACAUAGAUGACAUAAUUGACUACAUUCAUUUGAGUUUGACAUGUAGGUGCUAAAGAGUGUGUACAGAAAUUGGGAGAAACUGUAAUUUUUGACAAUUUGGUAAAGAGUGUGAAUAACCAUGUUAAGACAUGUGACAAAUGUCAAAGAGAAAAAGUUACAAAUCAAAUAUGCAGGCUUCCAAUGCAAAAUAUUAAUCCAAAAGACUUAAUGGAUUUCUUAGCAGUGGAUUUUUAUGGCCAUUUGAUGAAAACAAAAUGACAUUUUGCUUGUUUUUUGUGGUAUUGGAAGUGUUUUGUAAAUUUGUAAAGCUCUAUCCUUUGUGCAAAGCAACUGGCAAGGCAAUUUUGGCUAAGUUAGAGAAGGACUACUUUGUGAAAAUUGAUAAACCCAAAUCUCUGCUUUCUGACUGUGCGUCACAGUUUACUGGUAAGAAGUGAAAGGGUGGUUGCUAGUCAUGAAAUAACAAUACAUACAUUGAUUUAUCAUCUGGCAGGAAAUCCUGCGAAACUUAUAUGAGGGAAAUUGGAAGAUUGUGCUGUACGUAAUGUAGCAACAAGUGUAAUUCAUGGGGACGCACCAUAGAAAAUAUCAAGGAUGUGAUGAAUACUGUGAGUCAUGAUGUAACAGGGUUUACUCCUUAUGAGAUUGUGAAGGGAGACAGGUCUUUAAGUUUCACAGAGGAGACACUGUUUUUUCCUCAUAGGGAAUAAUUAAAUUUGGAUGAGAAAAAGGAAGUAACGAUGGGAUUAGUAGGAAAAGGGUUAUAGGUGAGGAAGAAAAGACAUGAUGACAGGAUAAAGAGGGUAGAUACUAAAACAGGGGACCUAGUGUUGGUUAAGACCUAUUAGAAAUCUAAGGAAAUAAAUAGCAAAGUGUCAAAUUUUUCAAUGUGUACAGAGGACCUUUCGAAGUGGCUAAUGUUCCACAUCUGAACGCAUUCUAUGUGAUUUAUCCAAAGUCAAAGGAGAAAUUUGCUCUUAAGAAUGUUGUUGAUAUAAAACUAUAUAAAGCAAGAACAACACAGAUGAAAACUGUGGAUUUAAUGAAGGGAAUGAAUUUUCUUUGCAAGAUUUGGGAUCCAGGAGGAAAUACAGAGAUGAUUGGGUGUGAAGAGUGAACCUCAGGGGUUCACUACCCUGUAGUAAACAUGUGCAGUGGUGUGCAUAGGCCCCAAAAAAGCUGCAACAGUGCUGUUUCAUUCUUUAUUUUUCUGCACUGCUUCCUACUCUUCUGCUAUUAUUUAUAUCAGUAAAACCGUUCAACUAUCGAACUAUCCAGAGCAAGGACUAAGUAUACUGUGUAACCAAAGUAUCCAGGCACCUGGCUGGAGAUGACUUACAAGUUCGUGUCACCCUCCAUCGGUAAUGGUGGAAUUCAAUAAGGUGUUGGCCCAGCCUUGGCCUUUAUGACAGCUUCCACUCUUGCAGGCAUAUGUUCAGUCAGAUGUUGGAAGGUUUCUUGGUGAAUGGAGCACAUUCUUAAUGGAAUGCUGCACUGAGGAGAGAUAUCAAUGUCGGUUGGGGAGGCCUGGAAUGAAAUCGGCAUUCCAAAACAUCCCAAAGGUGUUCUAUAGGAUUCACGUAAGGACUCUGCGCAGGCCAGUCCAUUACAGGGAUGUUAUUGUCGUGUAACCAUUCCACCACAGACCAUGCAUUAUGAACAGGUGCUCUAUCAUGUUGAAAGAUCCAUUCGCCAUCCCUGAAUUGCUCUUCAACAGGGGAAGCAAGAAGGCGCUUAAAACAUCAAUGUAGGCCUGUACUGUGAUAGUGCCACGCAAAACAACAAUGGAUACAAGCCCCCUCCAUGGAAAACACGACCACACCAUAACACCACUAUCUCCGAAUUUUACUAUUGGCAUUACACAUGCUGGCAGAUGACGUUCAUCAGGCAACUGUUCAACUGUUGGCAGUCUGUCAGUCAACAGAUGAGGUUGGCCUGUACACUUUUGUGCUGUAUGUGUCCCUUCAUGUUUCCAGUUCAAUAUCACAUUGGAAACAGUGGAUCUAGGGAUGACUAGGAAUGUGGAAAUCUUGCAUACAGAUGUAUGAUGCAAGUAACACCCAAUCACCUGACCACGUUCGAAGUCCAUGACUUCCGCAGAGUACCCCAUUCUGCUCUCUCACGAUGUCUAAUGACUACUGAGGUCACUGAUAUAGAGUACCUGGCAGUAGGUGGCAGCACAAUGCACCCAAUGUGAGAAAUGUAUGUUUUUGGGGGUGUCCAGAUACUUUUGAUGACAUAGUAUAUGUAGUACCUGAUGUGACUGUAUUCUCGAAUGUGGCAUUUUUCCUGAUAAGAUAAGGAGUUAGUGAUGGAAGAGUGGUUGAGAGAUCAAAAAUAUUAAUAUAAUUAUUUGGGAACAGUUUUUUGUAGUAAGGUUGAAAGUAGUAACAAAAGCAAAGACUGGUAUGAUAAUGGGGUAAUGAAUCUGGUUUAUAAGUAAUGUGAACAGGGAAUAUGAGUUCAGCUGCUGUGCACUGAUAGUCAUUGAAUAUAAGAAAAAUUGAUAAUGCAUGACACAGGUGCAAAGUAGUGAAGCUGUGGAUGAGAUCUGGUUGGGGAUGUGUGUGGACGAAAGGAUAAGAAGUGAUUGCUGGAUGAAAUCAUAAAAUUUGAUGGGAAAUGGUAAGAUAAUGUAAUAGGUAACUACUGAAGUGCGGAAGGAAUAAGUCAGAGUAAUAGUGAAGGAAAUAUGUGUAAGGUGAAAUGAGUGAUAAUUAUAGGAAAAUUAUGAGAUGGAGUGAAAUGGUGGAGUGCAGAAGGGAUAGACGAGGAGGUUAAUGAGGAAAGAGAUAAAAUAAGAUGAGCAGUAGUUCCGAGAGGAUUAUAAAGUAAAAUGGAGGAAAGGGUAAAUAAAUUAAAAGGAAGAUUAGAGGAUUUUAUAGGGAAGCUGUUAGGGACCUUACCAUUUUGUAAUCGGAAGGAUUGAUUAGAGUUCAGUGGAGGUUGAAAGGGGAUCACUAAGAGAGAAGGUUUUGAGGAAUUAGCAAUAAAUUUGGAAAGUGCUGAUCAGUAUGGUAUGGCACAUCAUAAAACCUUGAAGGAAUUGAGUAAGUGGGGAAACAUGAGAAAUGUACACAGCAAUAACAAAUUCCAAGAGGGUAACAGAUAAUAUACUUAAAUCUACCAGACUUGUUAAAUUAGUCACCAAUCCAUACAUAUGGCUGCUUGAUGUUUCCAGAGGAAACAAGUUGCAGUGUAAAUGGUGUAAAGCUUUGAUUAUGGACUGUAAAUGAGAAGUGUUUGAAGAAUAAUUUCUUGUAUACCAGUGUACAUUUUUUUUGUUUGAAACCAGAUAGUUAUUUUGUCAUGAGAGAGUAAACUGAUGGGAAAUGUGACAUGUUUGAUGGUGUGAUGAGUCAAGUAGUUAUCAGCUCUAAGCAAUCAGAUGUGGGUUGUUAUAGUAGACUGUGGCUUAACUUUUUAAAGAUAUAAGACAAAAAGGAUAAAAGUUACAUGUAGUGACAAAUAAUAAAGAACUCUAUUAACUAAGUGCAUAUAAGUAAAUGUGGCUGUUAGAAAUGGAACUCAGUAACGUAGAGCUAGAAAUUCUUCCAAAGACACUCCAGAGUGUGUGAUGAUAAGUAGCAUAUAAAAUAGUUAAGGAUCUAGCGAGAUUAGUCUGAAGCAGUGUUGUAUAAGUUUAUUGUAAUUAUUUGUUUAUCUUAGAAUUAUUUUGUUUUUGUGCUGUAACUCACAUGUCUUGGUGUUAGUCUUUACUAUAUGAAAUAUUCAUUUCUUAGAUUGAUUUGCUUGACUGAUGUCAGUACUCUGUAAGAAUUGUGUAAAAUUCUUUUUCAUUAUUGUUAAGUGGGAUUGUACUCUUCUAUGAUGUAUUUUAUCUUGGGAGGUUCUGGGGAACAUCUCAUGAUAAAAUGGUAGGGCAUAUGUGAAGGCAUUGCUAAUUACCCAUAUAAAUCUUUUUGCUACAAUUUUCUUUUCUUUUUUUCUUUUGUUCCUACCAGCGUAUGACAUAAUGUACUACUGUGGUUUUUAAAUGUAAAGAUGUAAUUGUGAUUAUUUCGUUUGCCAACAAGGAAAUGUGUUUCUUGCAUUGUGAUUGUGGAAAAGUUUGUAAAUUUCUUUUUUGCUAUAUAAUUAAUUGUGAAAAUGCAGUCAAGAACAUUUAUAAAGAUUUAUGUAAUUUGCAAUAAUGAUAUAACAUCUGUAGGCAGGGGACAGUGAUAGCGAUAUCGAUAACCACAAACAGAGGCAGUGUAGUAGAAGGUAUGGUGGAUGAUGCGUCUGGGAAGCGUGUGCAGGAAAAUAAUGCUAUGUUUUUAUUAAAAGCACCCGGAGUUGUAUGAACAGUGACACUAAACUAUGAGAAUGUAAUUUGCUUAACCACUGCAAUUUAUAAAGCCAUUACCAGCAAACUUUAGGAGGAAGUAAACCGGACUGUGAAAGUGGCGCUAACAAGACGAACAGUGCUUUUACACAAAUGAACUUUGCUGGCAUUAAUAUUCAGGUAGUGGAACUGUUGUCUUUCGCAUUCUAUCAAGCUGUGAAAGUGGAGACUUUAAUGAACUGUGCAGUAUAUCCGACUUUCAAUGAUGUUGCAGAAGUUUGACCUGCGAGAAGAGUGGACAUUGUUUACAGUGUGCAUCAUGUGAAAGAACAAUAAACUGCAUAUUUGUGGCUAUGGUUAUGAAUGCGAUGAAUUGUGUAGUUAUGGAUAAAAGUGUCACAGACAGUGCACAAAGUGUAUAAAUGAAUGCUGUCUACAUAAUGUACUUUGCAAGAAGGGAUAUGUCAACAAUGGCUGCAUACCAGCGUCUUGUGGUUUGAUACAUGCCACUGGGUUACUGAUUCAGCUGUCUAGAAACUACGGAUCACAGUGUGGAAUGUCAGAACCCUUAAUCGCGCAGAUGGUAGAGCAGUUCACACUUGUUGUUCUCAUACUGCGAGGAAGCAGUCUUUUUCAAGUCUGAAACAACCUGAAGCCACAGUACAACGGUGCUUCCAAAGGAGAGGCUACUUCCGUGCAUAAGCGAAAACGAAGAUUCAUAUAUAGAAAUGGCUAGUUCUGAACACGAUUUUUCGUCCAGUGGCAGCAGUUAUUGUCCCUCUGAUGAAUUUUCAUCUGAAAAUGACAUGGUACCCAAAGAAAAGGAAAAGCAUAAUUUCACGGCGAAUGGUCACUUUUUCGUACCAGGUUAAGGUUAAUGGCUGUAAUAUUUUGGUAUGCAGAGAAGCAUUUUUAAUUGUGCAUGGGCUUCAGAACAAUCAAGGAUGUCUUAAGAACUUACAAAAAUACUUGCAUGAUGGUCACACCACUUCUCUAAAAGACAGAAGAGGAAAAAAAGGGAACCCAUCAAGGACAGUUUCACAAGAAGCAGUUCAGACAGCUCACAAUUUUAUAAGUAAUAUACCUAUGUAUUCCAUUCAUUUCAGCCGCUCACAGAACCCCAAUAAAGUGUACUUGGAGCAUGA
Schistocerca gregaria is the source of this 7039-nucleotide long non-coding RNA. RefSeq lists it as uncharacterized. Lineage: Eukaryota; Metazoa; Arthropoda; Insecta; Orthoptera; Acrididae. The record is from RefSeq and is a predicted model, not a curated record. The transcript is spliced from 4 exons.